UGUGUGUGUUUUGUACUGACUGGGCGGAAAAUCGGCUGGAGGGGGGACCUCCUCGCAACUUGAACCUCAGUUCCCGGAGAGCCGGCCCAGGCCCGCGCUCUUGUCCACGGCCAGCCUGGGCCGCCGGAGCCGAGGCCUUUUGUGUGUUCUAGGCCUCCGGCUCCGUGCACGAGGCCCCACUGACAAAAUUAUUCCCCUUUGUUUUAAAACCAAAGGACAGGCCAACUUUUGAGUCCGGUUCUCCUCGGCCGCGCCUUUGUCGUGGAGGCACAGCCCCGCGCCUUGGUCAACUCUGUUCUUUUCAGGGCUGAACCCGACUCUUUCUGGAACCCUGGUGUUGCUGGCCGCCUGAAUACAUUCUCCCCUUACCCUUCCCGGGAAGAAAAUGGGCAUCCUUCCGUAGGCGAAGACAUAUGAGCCACCACCACCCGUGUCCCCAAACCGCCUUCCCGGUGGGGACCUCAGUUCCCUCGCUGUGCCAGCUUCUUGGUGAAAGGGACCUCGAGCGUUCGCCGGCCUCUGCCACCGGCUCGGGAAGCCCUGGCCGGAUCUGGGGCUUAAAAGCGCCAGUUUUCCAGGUCCCGGGUCUGGCAACCAGGGAGCUCCCGGCCCGGGCACCGCGAAAACCCGGAGAGGCUGCGCCCGGGACAUCCGUUCUCGCCAUCCCUCUGGUGCUGCGACUGGCUCAGCCACGAUUCGGCGCCGAGCCGAGGUUCAGCCAGCCCAGCCAAGAGGGGUCCCGACCCUCCAGGAAGACCAAGGACGCGGCGCCCAAGCCCGAACGCGGCAGGGACAAGAGCGCUGGGUGGGCAGAGCCAGGGCGGAAGCAGCAGGCUCGGCCCGGAGGAUCCCGGCGCGUCUCGGCUCCGCCUCCGGCCCUGGCCGCUUUCCCCGGCCCGGGUCGGGUCUUCCAUUCCACUGUUUGUCUCGGAGAGGUCGGAGACGUGCUCGGUGCACAGGGGGCCGGAUACGGCCAUAAAUUUUCAUGCGGGACCUCCUUCCCGUCGCUCACACGCCGCUGCUCCCGGCCGCCCUGGCAUCCCGGGCCGCACUGGGCGCCCUGCUUUCCCCGCCAUGGCCUGGGGUUUCCUGGAGCGGCGCGGGGAGUCAAGGCCGGAGCGUCCCCAUUCGCCAAAGAGAGGGAACAGCCUCGCCCCGUUCUGUGCCACCGCCUUCCAUCCCCGCGGUUGCUGGACCCCUGAGGCUGCCCGGGCCUCACUGGAUCUCCGCCUGGGGUAGGGGUACCGGGGCCAGGCACUUACUCCUAGGAAGGUUCGUUGAGGCUGGAAUGGGCACACGGCCACCUGCUUGAGCCCAACUCCCGCACCGUUAAGGGGUGACGCCAGGGUUAGGAUCAGAGUGCCUUUGCAGAUCUCAGCCAGCUGCUCCUCUCCGAAGACCCUGCUUUAAUCCCACGCCAUCGUUCUGCCCUCAAGAGUCCUCUGCAGGCGCACGAUAUAGGGGAGGUGGGCUUGUGUGUGUGUGUGUGUGUGUGUGUGUGUGCAUGCGGGAUGAGGACCAAGCAGGGUGUCUGCGGUAGCCGGGCCCGGAGGGGGGCUCGUGUACCUCCCCACCCCGCGCCAGCCCAUUUCUCCCUUUAUGCCAGGGAUACCCUGGACUUUUCGCCUCCCAGUCGGCACCCCUAUCCGCCACCAGCUUUGGCGUUUAUAGCCGAACCAUCGGGAAAGCAGGAAUUGGUGGAGCGCUGGUGGCAGCCUGGUAGGGGUGGUGGUCUUUCUACCUGAGCAGUCGCGGAGCACCCGGAGGGCAGACCCAGAGAAGGUGCGUGGUCCUCUAACGAGAUGCGCGCAAGUGACACCACGUGGCUUCCAAGCGAGGUCAGAAGAGGAGACACCAGGCUCGCGUGGAACCCUGAGCCAGCAGGGGAGAAGCUGGACUGCCCGAGGCCACCACGCACUUAGGAAGCUCCACCCACAUGCUGAGGCCCCCAGUAGUCUCUCCAGGGGACAGAAGGCUCUGCCCAGGGCACGCCCACAGCCAGCAUCCACUGCCGACACGUGUGAGCAGAAAGGAGCCUCCUCAGAGCUGCGUGAGCGAGGCCUGGGAGCUCCGUGACCGCCCAGGUCACGCGCAGGAGGGGCUGAGCUGGGACUGGAACUCAGUUCUAUUUCCCCCCCGCCGCCCGGCCGCCCUCCUUGGUGGGUGCUUGAAUGACCACAGAAGAAAACGGUCUGGACUGUGGAGCCAGCCACCCAUUUGCGAUGUUGGCAAAGCCGCUUCCCUCUCUGAGCCUCAGUUUGCCUGUCUGUGAAAUGGGGCUAACGUACUCCUUUCCCAGGAUCAGAGGGGGAGGGCGGGUGCAUGCCUGUGCUGAGUGUGCAGAUGGUGACCGAUGCCCUCAUCUUUCUGAACACCGGCAGGUGUUCUGAUAGCCAAGGGGGCCUGGGAGCCCAUGCAGCAGGGUGACCGCCACCUCACUCCCUCCGGAGGCUGGUGAUGGCUGGGUACCGAGCAGGUGCUCAGGAAAGGAUGGCUUCACAGCUGGGCUGUGGCCAGCCCAGUCCCCAAGCCACUGCCCCGAUGCUUCUUGAGCAGGACAGGACCGAAGCCAGCUGCACAGCUCUCCUGUCGCUGUCACGACCAAUAGCUACUCACUGGGUGGCUUCAGACACCAGACGCUUAUUCUCUUACGGUUCAGGAGUUCAAAAUCAAGGUGUCAACAAGGUUGAUUCUUUCUUGGGACCUGUGGUGGACAGUCUGCCCCAAGCCUCUCUCCCGCGUCUGGGGGAGACCGGCGCCCCUCGGCCCUCCUGGGCGUGAGUCCGGGUCCCCCCAGCCACUGCUGCCACAGUCACACGGCUGCCUUCCCUCUGGGUCUGUCUUCACGUGGCGUUCUCCUCUUAUAAGGACACCAGUCAUAUUUGAUUAAAGGCCUGCCGUGCUCCAGUGGGACCGCA
Molecule: RNA transcript, 2918 nt
Organism: Herpailurus yagouaroundi (jaguarundi)
Lineage: Eukaryota; Metazoa; Chordata; Mammalia; Carnivora; Felidae
Exons: 2
Source: RefSeq, a predicted model, not a curated record